UGGAGAGUUUGAUCCUGGCUCAGGACGAGACGCUGGCGGCGUGCUUAACACAUGCAAGUCGAGCGGAAAGGCCCCUUCGGGGGUACUCGAGCGGCGAACGGGUGAGUAACACGUGAGCAACCUGCCCCUGACUCUGGAAUAAGCCUGGGAAACCGGGUCUAAUACCGGAUAUGACUACUGCCCGCAUGGGUUGGUGGUGGAAAGUUUUUCGGUUGGGGAUGGGCUCGCGGCCUAUCAGCUUGUUGGUGGGGUGAUGGCCUACCAAGGCGACGACGGGUAACCGGCCUGAGAGGGCGACCGGUCACACUGGGACUGAGACACGGCCCAGACUCCUACGGGAGGCAGCAGUGGGGAAUAUUGCGCAAUGGGCGGAAGCCUGACGCAGCGACGCCGCGUGGGGGAUGACGGCCUUCGGGUUGUAAACCUCUUUCAGCACCGACGAAGCCUUUCGGGGUGACGGUAGGUGCAUGAAGAAGCCCGCUAACUACGUGCCAGCAGCCGCGGUA
RNAcentral lists this ribosomal RNA (506 nucleotides) under Actinomadura madurae. Its description in RNAcentral is "bacterial SSU rRNA". It matches the Rfam family "Bacterial small subunit ribosomal RNA", at positions 1 to 522 of the family's 1533-position model. The record is from RNAcentral. Lineage: Bacteria; Bacillati; Actinomycetota; Actinomycetes; Streptosporangiales; Thermomonosporaceae.